RNAcentral lists this ribosomal RNA (253 nucleotides) under uncultured bacterium. RNAcentral describes it as "partial 16S ribosomal RNA". It matches the Rfam family "Bacterial small subunit ribosomal RNA", at positions 524 to 776 of the family's 1533-position model. The record is from RNAcentral.
UACGGGGGGGGCAAGCGUUGUUCGGAAUUACUGGGCGUAAAGGGCUCGUAGGCGGCCAACUAAGUCAGACGUGAAAUCCCUCGGCUUAACCGGGGAACUGCGUCUGAUACUGGAUGGCUUGAGAUUGGGAGAGGGAUGCGGAAUUCCAGGUGUAGCGGUGAAAUGCGUAGAUAUCUGGAGGAACACCGGUGGCGAAGGCGGUUCUCUGGGCAUUACCUGACGCUGAGGAGCGAAAGUGUGGGGAGCGAACAGG